AAACCAACAGGGAUUACCUCAGUAACGGCGAGUGAAGCGGUAACAGCUCAAAUUUGAAAUCUGGCUUUUUCAGGGUCCGAGUUGUAAUUUGUAGAAGAUGCUUUGGGUGUGGCCCUGGUCUAAGUUCCUUGGAACAGGACGUCAUAGAGGGUGAGAAUCCCGUAUGUGACUAGGUGCUUUCGCCCGUGUAAAGCUCUUUCGACGAGUCGAGUUGUUUGGGAAUGCAGCUCAAAAUGGGUGGUAAAUUUCAUCUAAAGCUAAAUAUUGGCCAGAGACCGAUAGCGCACAAGUAGAGUGAUCGAAAGAUGAAAAGCACUUUGGAAAGAGAGUUAAACAGUACGUGAAAUUGUUGAAAGGGAAGCGCUUGCAACCAGACUUAGUUGCGGCCGAUCAUCUAGGGUUCUCCCUGGUGCACUCGGUCGUAUCUAGGCCAGCAUCGGUUUGGGUGGUGGGAUAAAGGCCUUGGGAAUGUAGCUUCUUUCGGGGAGUGUUAUAGCCCUCGGUGCAAUGCCGCCUACCUGGACCGAGGACCGCGCUUCGGCUAGGAUGCUGGCGUAAUGGUUGUAAGCGAC
This 572-nucleotide ribosomal RNA is filed under the name Lachnum sp. OTU8 TS-2013. Its description in RNAcentral is "eukaryotic LSU rRNA". It matches the Rfam family "Eukaryotic large subunit ribosomal RNA", at positions 62 to 648 of the family's 3401-position model. Lineage: Eukaryota; Fungi; Ascomycota; Leotiomycetes; Helotiales; Lachnaceae. The record is from RNAcentral.